RNAcentral lists this ribosomal RNA (499 nucleotides) under uncultured Glomeromycotina. RNAcentral describes it as "partial small subunit ribosomal RNA". It matches the Rfam family "Eukaryotic small subunit ribosomal RNA", at positions 591 to 1092 of the family's 1831-position model. The record is from RNAcentral. Lineage: Eukaryota; Fungi; Glomeromycota.
CCAAUAGCGUAUAUUAAAGUUGUUGCAGUUAAAAAGCUCGUAGUUGAAUUUCGGGAUCAAUUUAUUGGUCGUGCAAUAGUACGUACUGGUAUUAUUGGUUCCUACCUUCUGAUGAACCAUGAUGUCAUUAAUUUGGUGUUAUGGGGAAUCAGGACUGUUACUUUGAAAAAAUUAGAGUGUUUAAAGCAGGCUCACGCUUGAAUACAUUAGCAUGGAAUAAUGAAAUAGGACGUUUGAUUCUAUUUUGUUGGUUUCUAGGAUCGACGUAAUGAUUAAUAGGGAUAGUUGGGGGCAUUAGUAUUCAAUUGUCAGAGGUGAAAUUCUUGGAUUUAUUGAAGACUAACUACUGCGAAAGCAUUUGCCAAGGAUGUUUUCAUUAAUCAAGAACGAAAGUUAGGGGAUCGAAGACGAUCAGAUACCGUCGUAGUCUUAACCAUAAACUAUGCUGACUAGGGAUCGGAUGAUGUUAAUUUUUUAAUGACUCAUUCGGCGCCUUACG